UUUCACUUCCCCCGUCCUUAUCCUCUCCUCUCCUCUCUCUCUCUCUCUCACCGACGGCAGCGGCGGGCUCGGCACCGGCGGCGGCGGCCUCGACCGCCGAUCGCCGACGCCCCGCGCCGCCUCCUCGCUCAUCAGGAUGGGCUCGGCGGUGUGUGCCGGUGCCGGCGUGCUCGGUGCGCCAGACCCGCGACGUCGCCUUCGAGGCCGAGGACGCGCUCGACGACUUCCUCCGGCGGCAGUCCACUUUGGUCGCGGUCGCGGCGACGUCCCCAACCUCCAUGACGUCGUCGCCUCGGCUACUCCGGAGCCCACUGCCCCUGGCCGGAUUUGGAAGCCAGCUACACAACGACGGGCGCCGGCCUGCCGUUCUUCGCCCUCGGCCUCCACCGGCUUCCCUUCCGACGUCGCCGCCUUGAGCUCCUCCUCACGCCCUCCCCGCCGGCCCUUCCCGAUCUGCUCCACCCAAGCCACCACGACGACCAGAUCCAGGAAGUCUCUCCAUCGCUCUAGUCCUGACAGUGGCUGGAGGACCCCGGCCGGUUGCAGCAAUUCAUCCCCGCAAAAAUAUCAAAGUUGACAUCGUCAGCCUCCUCAUUUGGAUAAGAAUUUGUGAAUCAGGAUGUUCCAUCUAAUUUGGUUUUGCUCGGGUUGUCAAAUGCUCAAUGGAUAUGUACCUGCGCAUGUGCAUCAGGUUGGUGUGCUUCGGCAUGUGGUGGGUUGAUUUACUUCAGCCAAGAUGGAUGAUACUCUGACAACUGGAAGCAUCAGGAGUACACAGGGGAAAAGAGACGUUUAGCAGAGGCUUCACUUGCCUACAACUGUGAGAGGAUAUAGAAGACUAAAGGAUUUACAGAUUACAGAUGAAAAGAGAAACGGCCAAUGAAUCAGUUCUACAUGUAGAAAGCUGUAGAUAGCUUUAAUUAGUGAGACAAUUGUGUGAACUUCAGUUUUUUUUUGCCAUUGCACCUUUUUUUUUAAAUGUACCGUUGAGCUGUAACUUCGAUGAUUUAUCCAAUAUAAAUAAAAAUAGUUAUGUUCAUAUAAA
Molecule: long non-coding RNA, 1045 nt
Organism: Oryza sativa Japonica Group (Japanese rice)
Lineage: Eukaryota; Viridiplantae; Streptophyta; Magnoliopsida; Poales; Poaceae
Source: RefSeq, a predicted model, not a curated record